UCCCGCUGAAUUUAAGCAUAUAAGUAAGCGGAGGACCUGAAACUAAAUAGGCACACUUUAGUAAUGGCGAAUGAACAGGAACCUGCUUAGUGCUGAAAUGGGGGACUACGCGUCUCCAAUUGUGCUGCUGUGGCGAAUAGCGUGCAAGGAUAGAGGUACAUGCCUCUUGGAAAAGGGCGCCGCUGAGGGUGAGAGUCCCUCCUUCUGCUUCUUGUCCUGCAGGAAUGGCGUUUCCCCCAAGAGUCGUGUUCCUUGGGACUGGAGCGCAAUGGGGUGGUAAGCUGCAUCUAAAGCAAAUCAUGCACUUGAGGUCAAUAGCUGACAAGUACUGUGAGGGAAAGGUGAAAAGGACUUUGGAGAGAGAGCUAACAGUACCUGAAGUCACUGUUGGGGAAGUGGGUCAAGUUGUUACCUUGGUGAGAUUGCUGGACGGCGCGCGGAUUGCCCCUGGGCUUGGCCUCUGGCUGAGGGCGUGGAACGUGGCCUGCACAGUGCGUCUUGCAGAAGGACUUGUCAGCAGUUGCCACUUGGACAAGGCCUGGAGCUGUCCCAGCAGGCAUGAUGCCAGCUGACAGCUCCACUGGGUUGGAGAGUGGACUACUUAGCAAGCUAACAACAGCUGGAUUCAUCCCGUCUUGAAACACGGACCAAGGAGUCUAGUAUGUGUGCAAGUGCCAUGCUGUGAAAACUCUGAAUGCAAAGUUAAAGGCAACUGCCAGGUAUUGGACUCUGGCAACCGACCUAACAAUGGGGCUAGGUUUGAGCGUGAGCACAGAUGCUAGGACCCGAAAGAUGGUGAACUAUGCCUGUGCAGGGCAAACUCAGGGGAAACCCUGGUGGAGGCUUACAGCGCUACUGACGUGCAAAUCGUUUGUCAGACGUGGGUAUAGGGGCGAAAGACUAAUCGAACCAUCUAGUAGCUGGUUCCCUCUGAAGUUUCCCUCAGGAUAGCUAGGGUAGAGCAGCUUUGUCAGGUAAAGCCAAUGAUUAGAGGCAUUGGGGAUGUGCCAUCCUCGACCUAUUCUCAAACUUUAAAUGGGCAAGAGCGAGUGGUUGCUUUGAUGAACCCUUGGGACAAGUAGAGACCCUAAGUGGGCCAAAUUUGGUAAGCAGAAUUGGUGAUGAGGGAUGAACCUAACGCUGAUUUCUGGUGCCCAACAGCCAGCUUAUUGGAUACCACAAAGGGCGUUGGUUCAUUUAAACAGCAGGACGGUGGUCAUGGAAGUCGAAAUCCGAUAAGGAGUGUGUAACAACUCACCUGCCGAAUGGACCAGCCCCGAAAAUGGAUGGCGCUGAAGUAGGUGACGCAUAGUCAGCCAUUUUUGCACAUGAGCAGCACUGAUGAGUAGGAGGGCAUGGGAUCUUGUGAUGAAGCUCCU
RNAcentral lists this ribosomal RNA (1379 nucleotides) under Bysmatrum caponii. RNAcentral describes it as "eukaryotic LSU rRNA". It matches the Rfam family "Eukaryotic large subunit ribosomal RNA", at positions 24 to 1413 of the family's 3401-position model. The record is from RNAcentral. Lineage: Eukaryota; Dinophyceae; Peridiniales; Peridiniaceae.